AUGGUAUCGAAGAUGAGGAAAGUAGAAGUAAAGCAUUGGUACAGCGAGUCAGAGAUGGUGGGAGUCUGACGCAAAUUUACUUUGAAGCGCACCUCUGAGAUUCUACCUGAAAUGUGAGUAGGGUAUGACGGUUUCCUCCGUUAAUGGGAGUCAGAGUGGGCAUUUAUGUCAAUCAGAGUGGUAACACGGGAAUAGACUCUCGUCUCUAUU
This 210-nucleotide non-coding RNA is filed under the name Alkaliphilus metalliredigens. Its description in RNAcentral is "T-box sequence". It matches the Rfam family "T-box leader". Rfam says of the family: Uncharged tRNA acts as the effector for transcription antitermination of genes in the T-box leader family. T-boxes are found upstream of many aminoacyl-tRNA synthetase genes and some amino acid biosynthetic genes usually in Gram-positive bacteria. Lineage: Bacteria; Bacillati; Bacillota; Clostridia; Peptostreptococcales; Natronincolaceae. The record is from RNAcentral.